This 443-nucleotide ribosomal RNA is filed under the name uncultured bacterium. RNAcentral's name for it is "partial 16S ribosomal RNA". It matches the Rfam family "Bacterial small subunit ribosomal RNA", at positions 338 to 795 of the family's 1533-position model. The record is from RNAcentral.
CCUACGGGUGGCAGCAGUGGGGAAUAUUGGGCAAUGGGCGCAAGCCUGACCCAGCAACGUCGCGUGAGGGAAGAAGGCUUUCUGGUUGUAAACUUCUUUUCUCAGGGACGAAACAAGUGACGGUACCUGAGGAAUAAGCCACGGCUAAAUACGUGCCAGCAGCCGCGGGAAUACAUAGGUGGCAAGCGUUAUCCGGAUUUACUGGGUGUAAAGGGGGUGUAGGCGGGGACGGAAGGCAGCUGUGAAAACCGCGGGCUCAACCUGUGGCCUGCAGUUGAAACUGUGUUUCUUGAGUACUGGAGAGGCAGACGGAAUUCCUGGUGUAGCGGUGAAAUGCGUAGAUAUUAGGCGGAACCCCAGUGGCGAAGGCGGUCUGCUGGACAGCAACUGACGCUGAGGCGCGAAAGCGUGGGGAGCAAACAGGAUUAGAUACCCGAGUAGUC